GGGAGACCACCACCACUGGAUCUCAAGGGUGGGAUUGGAUUUAUCCAUUCUCUGCUUUUGUAUUAGGAUUCCCAAGGUAUAAUCAUUUAUCAACAACAACAACAACAAAUAAACAAGACAAGACAAGACAAGACAAAGAUGACUUCCUCACAGGGCUGAAGACUGGGAUUCCAAAGCAAAGGACCCUUCUGCAGAGAGCUGAGGACAAGAGAAGGUCCAGCAUUGCAGGAAUAUUUUUCAUGGACCUUUCGGUAGUCUUGCAACUUUAUCAUUUUACAUAAAAAGGAAGAUCGCACAACCCUAUCACAGCGAUGGAGAAACACGAUGAACGAUGAAGCUGGAAAGGGAGGCUUCAGUACCAUGCUAAGGGUUUGAGAUGUGAGCCAGGCUUGGCCCCUUUAGUUUCCUAAAUAAACAUUGAUUUAUCUUUCCA
RNAcentral lists this long non-coding RNA (433 nucleotides) under Mus spicilegus (steppe mouse). RNAcentral describes it as "lncRNA (ENSMSIG00000004913.1)". Lineage: Eukaryota; Metazoa; Chordata; Mammalia; Rodentia; Muridae. The record is from RNAcentral.